RNAcentral lists this long non-coding RNA (793 nucleotides) under Marmota monax (woodchuck). The record is from RNAcentral. Lineage: Eukaryota; Metazoa; Chordata; Mammalia; Rodentia; Sciuridae.
AAAGUUUUUAGUCAAAAAUUAAACAUUAUUUACCAAAGAAGAAUUCACACUGGAGAAAAGCUCUACAAAUGUAGAGAAUGUGGCAAAGCUUUUAGUCAAAAAACAGACCUUAUUCACCACAGAAGAACUCACACUGGAGAGAAGCCCUACAAAUGUAAAGAAUGUGGCAAAGAUUUCAGUCAUAAAUCACUCCUUAUUCACCACAGCAGAACUCACACUGGAGAGAAGCCCUACAAAUGUAAAGAAUGUAGCAAUGCCUUUAGUCAAAAAUCAGACGUUAUUCACCACAGCAGAACUCACAGUGGAGAGAAGCCCUAAAAAUGUAAAGAAUGUGGCAAAGCUUUCAGUAGAAAUGUAGGACUUAAUUACCACAGCAGAACUCACACUGGAGAGAAUCCCUACAAAUGUAAAGAUUGUGGCAAAGCUUUCAGAAUAAAAGAAGGACUUACUUACCACAGGAGAACUCACACUGGAGAGAAGCCGUACAAAUGUAAAGAAUGUGGCAAAGCUUUCAGUAAAAAAUCAGACCUUAUUUGCCACAGCAGAACUCACACUGGAGAGAAGCCCUAAAAUGUAAAGAAUGUGGCAAAGAUUUCAGUCAAAAAGCACACCUUAUUUGCCACAGUAGAACUCACACUGGAUAGAAGCCCUACAAAUGUAAAGAAUGUGGCAAAGCUUUUAGUCGAAAAUCACACCUUAUUUGCCACAGUAGAACUCACACUGGAGAGAAACCCUACAAAUGUAAAGAAUGUGGCAAAGCUUUCAGUCGAAAAUCAAACCUUAUUCGCCACAG